UACGGAGGGUGCAAGCGUUAUCCGGAUUCACUGGGUUUAAAGGGUGCGUAGGUGGGCUAGUAAGUCAGUGGUGAAAUCUCCGGGCUUAACCCGGAAACUGCCAUUGAUACUAUUAGUCUUGAAUACUUUGGAGGUAAGCGGAAUAUGUCAUGUAGCGGUGAAAUGCUUAGAUAUGACAUAGAACACCAAUUGCGAAGGCAGCUUACUACACAGUAAUUGACACUGAGGCACGAAAGCGUGGGGAGCAAACAGG
This 253-nucleotide ribosomal RNA is filed under the name uncultured bacterium. RNAcentral describes it as "partial 16S ribosomal RNA". It matches the Rfam family "Bacterial small subunit ribosomal RNA", at positions 524 to 776 of the family's 1533-position model. The record is from RNAcentral.